RNAcentral lists this ribosomal RNA (492 nucleotides) under Triticum aestivum (bread wheat). Its description in RNAcentral is "partial small subunit ribosomal RNA". The record is from RNAcentral. Lineage: Eukaryota; Viridiplantae; Streptophyta; Magnoliopsida; Poales; Poaceae.
AUGAAGGUUUUGAGUUGGAAUUGUAAUGGACUGGGGAACGCCCCAGCGGGUCAUGCCUUGCUGGAGGUCCAGCGAAGAUGCCAACCUGAUGUGUUGUUUUUGUCGGAGACACACCUAGAUAGCUACCCGGCUGAAAGUUUGAGGAAAAGAUUGAAGAUGGAUCAGAAACUUGUGUGCCCUAGUGAUGGUAGGAAGGGAGGGUUAUUGCUGUUUUGGAAUAAUAACACCAGGGUGACCAAGCUUGAGCUAGACCCUAUGUUCAUUGAUGUUAAGAUUGAAGAAGCAAAUAAUGUGGUGUGGCGUUUGACAGGGAUGUAUUGGGAGUUUCGGUGGAAAAAUAAACACAUGACGUGGAGCCGCAUGAGGCAACUCCACCAAAAUCAUAAACUUCCAUGGAUUGUGUUGGGUGAUCUGAAUGAAAUUCAGUACCUACAUGAUAAGGAUGGAGGUAACCCACGCCCGAGGACUGUGAGCUGCACGACCUUGGGUUAA